GAUGAACGCUGGCGGCGUGCUUAACACAUGCAAGUCGAACGGUGAAGGCGGAGCUUGCUCUGCUGGAUCAGUGGCGAACGGGUGAGUAACACGUGAGCAAUCUGCCCCUGACUCUGGGAUAAGCGCUGGAAACGGCGUCUAAUACUGGAUACGAGCUGCGAAGGCAUCUUCAGCAGCUGGAAAGAACUUCGGUCAGGGAUGAGCUCGCGGCCUAUCAGCUUGUUGGUGGGGUAACGGCUCACCAAGGCGUCGACGGGUAGCCGGCCUGAGAGGGUGACCGGCCACACUAGGACUGAGACACGGCCCAGUCUGCUACGGGAGGCAACAGUGGGGAAUAUUGCACAAUGGGCGAGAGCCUGAUGCAACGACGCCGCGUGAGGGACGACGGCCUUCGGGUUGUAAACCGCUUUUAGCAGGGAAGAAGCGAAAGUGACGGUACCUUCAGAAAAAGCGCCGGCUAACUACGUG
This 468-nucleotide ribosomal RNA is filed under the name uncultured bacterium. RNAcentral's name for it is "partial 16S ribosomal RNA". It matches the Rfam family "Bacterial small subunit ribosomal RNA", at positions 28 to 507 of the family's 1533-position model. The record is from RNAcentral.